CCGCAUAAUAACCCAUUAGGAUAGCCUAAACCAAAGUCCACCGGGUUUCCUCGAAACCCAAACGGACAUUCACGUUGUAUGCAUUGAUUUGGAGAAAUAAAUGCCUUUACUAAUUAUUGAUUUAAAUAGUCGAGUCCGGUGGGGUAAGGGCCUAACUCUUUGUUUUACAGGAAAUGAGCCACGAGGUCCCCAGGUUUGGUAUGGUAUCAAACAUUCAUCCAAAAUUGCUAAGUUGGUGGGACGAUUUGCAUGGUAGUGAUUGGGUUGUCGUCCACAAACACUUAGGAAAUCUUCCUUCACUUCUGGAAGUUAGGCCAGAUAACAAGAUUGUGGAAGCUGCUACUACGUUUUGGGAUAGUGAAUGGUCUGUCUUCCGCUU
This 379-nucleotide long non-coding RNA is filed under the name Nicotiana benthamiana. RNAcentral's name for it is "long non-coding RNA (NBEN_LNC020825)". Lineage: Eukaryota; Viridiplantae; Streptophyta; Magnoliopsida; Solanales; Solanaceae. The record is from RNAcentral.